Molecule: unclassified non-coding RNA, 111 nt
Filed under: Maribacter aquivivus
Lineage: Bacteria; Pseudomonadati; Bacteroidota; Flavobacteriia; Flavobacteriales; Flavobacteriaceae
Description: Flavo-1 RNA
Source: RNAcentral
GAUUAGUGCGUUAGGGAUAGAAGCGGCAUAUUUUUCUAUUUAAAUUGAUGUUCACUAAGAUGAAAGAGUGAAUUAUAAAUAGAAAAAAUAGAGCUGAAAGCCCGCCCGAAC